Molecule: ribosomal RNA, 254 nt
Filed under: uncultured bacterium
Lineage: Bacteria
Description: partial 16S ribosomal RNA
Rfam family: Bacterial small subunit ribosomal RNA
Source: RNAcentral
UACGUAGGGUGCAAGCGUUAUCCGGAAUUAUUGGGCGUAAAGAGCUCGUAGGCGGUUUGUCACGUCUGCUGUGAAAACUGGAGGCUCAACCUCCAGCCUGCAGUGGGUACGGGCAGACUAGAGUGCGGUAGGGGAGAUUGGAAUUCCUGGGUGUAGCGGUGGAAUGCGCAGAUAUCAGGAGGAACACCGAUGGCGAAGGCAGAUCUCUGGGCCGUAACUGACGCUGAGGAGCGAAAGCAUGGGGAGCGAACAGG